GGCGCGCUCUUUGCGCUCACUCAAACAUCCGCAAUCAACGUCGAUUGCCCCAUCACGACAAAGGCGCCGU
Pseudomonas sp. M47T1 is the source of this 70-nucleotide regulatory RNA element. It matches the Rfam family "narK RNA". NCBI's taxonomy places the organism in Bacteria, Pseudomonadati, Pseudomonadota, Gammaproteobacteria, Pseudomonadales, Pseudomonadaceae. The record is from Rfam.